RNAcentral lists this ribosomal RNA (1123 nucleotides) under uncultured bacterium. Its description in RNAcentral is "bacterial SSU rRNA". It matches the Rfam family "Bacterial small subunit ribosomal RNA", at positions 213 to 1354 of the family's 1533-position model. The record is from RNAcentral.
GCUUCCGCUAUGAUGAGCAAGGUCGAUAGCUAGUGUGAGUAUGCUCACAGCAGCGAUCCGUAGUUGUCUGAGAGAUGAUCAGCACAUCGGACUGAGACACGCCCGACUCUACGGAGCAGCAGUGGGAUAUUGACAAUGGGGCAACCCUGAUCCAGCCAUGCCGCGUGUGUGAGAAGGCCCUCGGGUUGUAAAGCACUUUCAGCGAGGAAGAACGCCUAGUGGUUAAUACCCAUUAGGAAAGACAUCACUCGCAGAAGAAGCACCGGCUAACUCCGUGCCAGCAGCCGCGGUAAUACGGAGGGUGCAAGCGUUAAUCGGAAUUACUGGGCGUAAAGCGCGCGUAGGCGGCUUGAUAAGCCGGUUGUGAAAGCCCCGGGCUCAACCUGGGAACGGCAUCCGGAACUGUCAGGCUAGAGUGCAGGAGAGGAAGGUAGAAUUCCCGGUGUAGCGGUGAAAUGCGUAGAGAUCGGGAGGAAUACCAGUGGCGAAGGCGGCCUUCUGGACUGACACUGACACUGAGGUGCGAAAGCGUGGGUAGCAAACAGGAUUAGAUACCCUGGUAGUCCACGCCGUAAACGAUGUCGACCAGCCGUUGGGUGCCUAGCGCACUUUGUGGCGAAGUUAACGCGAUAAGUCGACCGCCUGGGGAGUACGGCCGCAAGGUUAAAACUCAAAUGAAUUGACGGGGGCCCGCACAAGCGGUGGAGCAUGUGGUUUAAUUCGAUGCAACGCGAAGAACCUUACCUACCCUUGACAUCGACAGAAGCCGAGAGAGAUCUUGGUGUGCCUUCGGGAACUGUCAGACAGGUGCUGCAUGGCUGUCGUCAGCUCGUGUUGUGAAAUGUUGGGUUAAGUCCCGUAACGAGCGCAACCCUUGUCCUUAUUUGCCAGCGCGUAAUGGCGGGAACUCUAAGGAGACUGCCGGUGACAAACCGGAGGAAGGUGGGGACGACGUCAAGUCAUCAUGGCCCUUACGGGUAGGGCUACACACGUGCUACAAUGGCCGGUACAAAGGGCAGCGAGCUCGCGAGAGUCAGCGAAUCCCUUAAAGCCGGUCUCAGUCCGGAUCGGAGUCUGCAACUCGACUCCGUGAAGUCGGAAUCGCUAGUAAUCGGAAUCAGAA